CUGUUGCUGCUGUGAACCAUGCGGCUCGCAUCAAAAAUAGGCGUGACCUCGAAUCUCUAGAAGAGACGCAGCCGAGACGCGCGUCUCACUCUGUCAGUGU
Molecule: long non-coding RNA, 100 nt
Organism: Sebastes umbrosus (honeycomb rockfish)
Lineage: Eukaryota; Metazoa; Chordata; Actinopteri; Perciformes; Sebastidae
Exons: 3
Source: RefSeq, a predicted model, not a curated record